GUCAGGUCUCAGGUGACGCACCCUGGAAUUGGGCUCUCUCCUCUCUGGUUCUGGGUGUGUCAUGCUAGAACUGCA
Myotis brandtii (Brandt's bat) is the source of this 75-nucleotide non-coding RNA. Lineage: Eukaryota; Metazoa; Chordata; Mammalia; Chiroptera; Vespertilionidae. The record is from Rfam.